RNAcentral lists this ribosomal RNA (163 nucleotides) under uncultured bacterium. RNAcentral describes it as "partial 16S rRNA". It matches the Rfam family "Bacterial small subunit ribosomal RNA", at positions 355 to 511 of the family's 1533-position model. The record is from RNAcentral.
UAGGGAAUCUUCCACAAUGGACGAAAGUCUGAUGGAGCAACGCCGCGUGAGUGAAGAAGGGUUUCGGCUCGUAAAACUCUGUUGUUAAAGAAGAACAUAUCUGAGAGUAACUGUUCAGGUAUUGACGGUAUUAACCAGAAAGCCACGGCUAACUACGUGUCAG